This 626-nucleotide ribosomal RNA is filed under the name bacterium EAB-4IL4.01. RNAcentral describes it as "bacterial SSU rRNA". It matches the Rfam family "Bacterial small subunit ribosomal RNA", at positions 121 to 760 of the family's 1533-position model. The record is from RNAcentral.
UUGAUCUGCCUCGAUACUUCUUGGGAUAAGCCUGGGAAACUGGGUCUAAUACCGGAUAGGACCUUCUCUCGCAUGGGGGUUGGUGGAAAGUUUUUCGGUACGAGAUGGGCCCGCGGCCUAUCAGCUUGUUGGUGGGGUAAUGGCCUACCAAGGCGACGACGGGUAGCCGGCCUGAGAGGGCGACCGGCCACACUGGGACUGAGACACGGCCCAGACUCCUACGGGAGGCAGCAGUGGGGAAUAUUGCACAAUGGGCGCAAGCCUGAUGCAGCGACGCCGCGUGAGGGAUGACGGCCUUCGGGUUGUAAACCUCUUUCACCAGGGGCGAACUUAGACGGUACCUGGAGAAGAAGCACCGGCCAACUACGUGCCAGCAGCCGCGGUAAUACGUAGGGUGCGAGCGUUGUCCGGAAUUACUGGGCGUAAAGAGCUCGUAGGCGGUUUGUCGCGUCGUUCGUGAAAACUUGAUGCUUAACAUCAAGCGUGCGGGCGAUACGGGCAGACUUGAGUACUACAGGGGAGACUGGAAUUCCUGGUGUACGCGGUGAAAUGCGCAGAUAUCAGGAGGAACCACCCGGUGGCGAAGGCGGGUCCUCUGGGUAGUAANCUACCGCUAGGAGCAAAGC